This 460-nucleotide ribosomal RNA is filed under the name uncultured bacterium. RNAcentral describes it as "partial 16S ribosomal RNA". It matches the Rfam family "Bacterial small subunit ribosomal RNA", at positions 338 to 795 of the family's 1533-position model. The record is from RNAcentral.
CCUACGGGUGGCAGCAGUGAGGAAUAUUGGUCAAUGGCCGGAAGGCUGAACCAGCCAUGCCGCGUGAAGGUCAGUGCCCUAUGGGCGUUAAACUUCUUUUGUGCGGGAGCAAUAAUGGUCACGUGUGGCCAGACGAGAGUACCGUACGAAUAAGCAUCGGCUAACUCCGUGCCAGCAGCCGCGGUAAUACGGGGGAUGCAAGCGUUAUCCGGAGUUAUUGGGUUUAAAGGGUGCGUAGGCUGGGAGGUAAGUCAGCGGUGAAAUGCCCCCGCUCAACGGGGUGAAGUGCCAUUGAUACUGCCUGGCUGGAAUGCGGAUGCCGUGGGAGGAAUGUGUGGUGUAGCGGUGAAAUGCAUAGAUAUCACGCAGAACACCGAUUGUGAAGGCAUCUCACGAAUCCGCGAUUGACGCUGAUGCACGAAAGCGUGGGUAUCAAACAGGAUUAGAUACCCCUGUAGUC